This 253-nucleotide ribosomal RNA is filed under the name uncultured bacterium. RNAcentral's name for it is "partial 16S ribosomal RNA". It matches the Rfam family "Bacterial small subunit ribosomal RNA", at positions 524 to 776 of the family's 1533-position model. The record is from RNAcentral.
UACGUAGGGGGCAAGCGUUGUCCGGAAUCAUUGGGCGUAAAGCGCGUGUAGGCGGCCCGGUAAGUCCGCUGUGAAAGUCGGGGGCUCAACCCUCGGAUGCCGGUGGAUACUGUCGGGCUAGAGUUCGGAAGAGGCGAGUGGAAUUCCCGGUGUAGCGGUGAAAUGCGCAGAUAUUGGGAGGAACACCAGUGGCGAAGGCGGCUCACUGGACCGGAACUGACGCUGAGGCGCGAAAGCGUGGGGAGCAAACGGG